Ipomoea triloba (trilobed morning glory) is the source of this 1567-nucleotide long non-coding RNA. RefSeq lists it as uncharacterized. NCBI's taxonomy places the organism in Eukaryota, Viridiplantae, Streptophyta, Magnoliopsida, Solanales, Convolvulaceae. The transcript is spliced from 3 exons. The record is from RefSeq and is a predicted model, not a curated record.
GAGAACUCUUGCUCUGCCUUCUCUCUACCUCUCUAGCAACACAGGUCCUGCUACACACUUUCUUGCUUUUCAUUUUCUGUAGUUUCAUUCUUUUUUUUUUUUUUUUCUCCAGCGACUUUGAAGCCCGUUGCUUCAGGAUGAUUCUUCAUCAGCAUCUGCCGAUUUCAUUUUUCAAUCUUUUGAAUCAUUUUCGAUAAUUCCCUGUGAGCGAUAUUGUUUAAAAAAACCCUAAACAAACCAUGCUUUCAACAACGGAACUCAUUCUAUAAUCCAUAAAUGGAGUACCACAAGUCGUCACAAGAAAUAUGAGCCACAAAUUUAGGAAAAAUCCAUCAUCAAACAACUACGGAUCUGUUUAGAAACGAAGCACCCAUAGUGGUGACAAUGACUCUACGAAAUAGACCUGAGGAAAAUCCAGAUGAGAAAAGCUUCAAUUGUAUAAGACCUGAGGAAAAUCCAGAUGAGAAAAGCUUCAAUUGUAUAAGGUAACCGUAUUUCAUAAGUUGUUUUAAUUUAUGAAAUUUAUUGAUUGUGUUAAAAAAAUCAUUUUUUUAAUUUGUCCCUGUUCUGUUGGUAUAAAAUAUAAAUUUAUAAAGAUUUUGUUAAAAUUUUUAUUUGAAAAUAUUGACCAAUUUAAAGUGUAAUAUAAAUAUAUUUUGAAGUAAUAUAUGUUGCAGAUUUCAGAAAAAAAAAAACAAAAUUCCUUCUAUGAAGCGCACAUGAAUAUCCUUGCAAUAAUUUUUUUAACAUAUCAGUUUGGUCAUUUGUUUAUGUAUUCUUAAGGUAGCCAAAAAAAUUCAUAGUACCUUUAUUUGCAUCUAUUUCCUUCUUCCCUGUGCAGCCUAUGGUAACUGAUCCCUUGAGUGUCUACUGCAUUAUCAAUUUUUGACUUGAUUUCUUGCAACUGAACUUCUUGUACUGCAGUAUGUUUUAAUGCUUUGAAUGCAUUCCUGGUAAAAUGUACCAUAGAUGACCUGCUUAACCUUGAAAAUAUGUACUCCAUGUUGUCGUUUUUUUUUUAUUUUUUGGAAAAUAUAUGUACUGCUUUACAUUGAUUAUAAAUGUUACAACAGAACUGACAAUAACCAAGAGACAAUUGGAAUACUACACUUUAUACGUGCACGUUACCUAAGAAUAGGUACAAACAUACAUGAGUUUGAGUUUUUUUGCUAUUGUGAUCUGCUCAUGAUGAUUUCAGGUGUGAAUGCCAGUAGUAUUGCUUGGUAUGCCGUUGAAAUCCUAAAAAAGUUUACUAUUGCAGGGCCCAUUCACUCAUCUCCAUGAGAAACACAACUACAUAUUUAUCCAAUUCACUGAAUAAAUGUAAAAAAAAAAAAUGGAGGAAUUGCAUACUGCAAAAGGUUAUAGCUUUAGAAUGAGUUGUUACCUCCUGUUUGAUGAUGUUUUUCUCUCCUUUCUCUUCAACGAAAGAGUGUAAAAGUGAGUAUUACAGCGCAGGACAUGUAAUAUUUAUAGGGUAUUCAGUUUGGAAUUCGAAAUUUGAAAUUUUAAACCACCAUGUAUUAGUGGGCGGGAAUUGUGACUAAAUUUUGUGUCAUUGAUUCUA